RNAcentral lists this ribosomal RNA (417 nucleotides) under uncultured soil bacterium. RNAcentral describes it as "bacterial SSU rRNA". It matches the Rfam family "Bacterial small subunit ribosomal RNA", at positions 26 to 484 of the family's 1533-position model. The record is from RNAcentral.
AGAGCGAACGCUGGCGGCAUGCCUAAUACAUGCAAGUCGAACGAACACUUCGGUGUUAGUGGCGCACGGGUGCGUAACGCGUGGGAAUCUGCCCUUGGGUUCGGAAUAACAGUUGGAAACGACUGCUAAUACCGGAUGAUAUCGAAAGAUCAAAGAUUUAUCGCCCAGGGAUGAGCCCGCGUAGGAUUAGCUAGUUGGUGAGGUAAAGGCUCACCAAGGCGACGAUCCUUAGCUGGUCUGAGAGGAUGAUCAGCCACACUGGGACUGAGACACGGCCCAGACUCCUACGGGAGGCAGCAGUAGGGAAUAUUGGACAAUGGGCGCAAGCCUGAUCCAGCAAUCGCCGCGUGAGUGAUGAAGGCCGUUAGGGUUGUAAAGUCUUCUUUACCCGAGAUGAUAAGUGACAGUAGUCGGAAG